UAAAUAUUCAUAGGUAACGGUUGGGCAUGCGUCCUAUUAGAUAGUUGGGGGGGUAACGGCCCACCAAGUCGAUGAUAGGUAGGGGUUCUGAGAGGAAGGUCCCCCACACUGGUACUGAGACACGGACCAGACUCCUACGGGAGGCAGCAGUGAGGAAUAUUGGUCAAUGGGCGAGAGCCUGAACCAGCCAAGUCGCGUGAGGGAUGACUGCCCUAUGGGUUGUAAACCUCUUUUGUAUGGGGGGAAUAAGCUUUACGAGUAGAGUGAUGACAGUACCAUACGAAUAAGCAUCGGCUAACUCCGUGCCAGCAGCCGCGGUAAUACGGAGGAUGCGAGCGUUAUCCGGAUUUAUUGGGUUCAAAGGGUGCGUAGGCGGCAUUAUAAGUUAGUGGUAAAAUAUUGGGGCUUCACCUCACUACGCCAUUAAUACUGUAGAGCUAGAGAACAGACGAGGUAGGCGGAAUAAGUUAAGUAGCGGUGAAAUGCAUAGAUAUAACUUAGAACACCGAUAGCGAAGGCAGCUUACCAGACUGAGUCUGACGCUGAUGCACGAGAGCAUGGGUAGCGAACAGGAUUAGAUACCCUGGUAGUCCAUGCCGUAAACGAUGCUCACUGGCCUUAGGCGAUAUAUGGUCU
This 636-nucleotide ribosomal RNA is filed under the name uncultured bacterium. RNAcentral's name for it is "bacterial SSU rRNA". It matches the Rfam family "Bacterial small subunit ribosomal RNA", at positions 202 to 842 of the family's 1533-position model. The record is from RNAcentral.